ACGGGAGGCAGCAGUGAGGAAUAUUGGUCAAUGGACGGAAGUCUGAACCAGCCAAGUCGCGUGAAGGAAGACGGUUCUAUGGAUUGUAAACUUCUUUUGCUCGAGGGUAAAGUGAGCCACGUGUGGCUUAUUGCAAGUAUCGAGUGAAUAAGCAUCGGCUAACUCCGUGCCAGCAGCCGCGGUAAUACGGAGGAUGCGAGCGUUAUCCGGAUUUAUUGGGUUUAAAGGGUGCGCAGGCGGGAUGUCAAGUCAGUGGCGAAAUGGUGCGGCUCAACCGUAGCAUUGCCGUUGAAACUGGCGUCCUUGAGUGCGAAUGAGGUACGCGGAACGUGUCAUGUAGCGGUGAAAUGCAUAGAUAUGACACAGAACACCGAUUGCGAAGGCAGCGUACUGGGACGCGACUGACGCUGAGGCACGAAAGUGCGGGGAUCGAACAGGAUUAGAUACCCUGGUA
RNAcentral lists this ribosomal RNA (454 nucleotides) under uncultured Barnesiella sp. RNAcentral describes it as "partial 16S ribosomal RNA". It matches the Rfam family "Bacterial small subunit ribosomal RNA", at positions 341 to 792 of the family's 1533-position model. Lineage: Bacteria; Pseudomonadati; Bacteroidota; Bacteroidia; Bacteroidales; Barnesiellaceae. The record is from RNAcentral.